RNAcentral lists this ribosomal RNA (656 nucleotides) under uncultured fungus. RNAcentral's name for it is "eukaryotic LSU rRNA". The stretch from base 159 to 312 matches the Rfam family "5.8S ribosomal RNA". Lineage: Eukaryota; Fungi. The record is from RNAcentral.
UGUGCUGCCUGAAUAUACGCACGUGUAUGUGUAUGUGUGCCUUGCGCACCAUGCACAUCACAUCAUCAUAUCAUCACAACACACAUAUACACAAACUAGUAGUAUCUGUUGCUCAAAUGUAUCUUUCUUGAUUGUAAUGAUCAAGGCAAACAAAGUACAACUUAUAACAAUGGAUCUCUAGGCUCUUGCAUCGAUGAAGAACGCAGCCAAACGCGAAAUGUGUUAUGACUUGCAAUCUUCGCGAAUCAUUUAAUCUUUGAACGCAACUUGCACCUUCGGGCUUGACCCUUAGGUAUACUUGUUUGAGUAUCGUCUAUGCUCUCACCCAUACGGCAUGUGCUAGCGUGUGUGCUUGCACACACAACACACACAUGCUUGAUGAGUGGAUUUGAGGCUUAGGAUGAUGACACUUGUUGUCGCCCUUGCUUCUAAACGCAUGAUCUUGCUCCAAUGGACAAGUCUAGCCCGCGUCUCUUACGACACUGACACACGCGCCAGCGCAUGAUGCGGCACGCGGUCACUCUUCACUAGAUUCUCCGAGAUCACACACACAUUCACCGCCUGAACGACUUUAGGGAGGUGGCUUGCGUGUGAUUGACGAGCAAUUGACAGUUGAGUGGCAGCAGCGCAGCUUCAUGCGUGCAUGUGCGAGUGAA